CUCAGAACGAACGCUGGCGGCAUGCCUAACACAUGCAAGUCGAACGAGACCUUCGGGUCUAGUGGCGCACGGGUGCGUAACGCGUGGGAACCUGCCUUUAGGUUCGGAAUAACUCAGAGAAAUUUGAGCUAAUACCGGAUAAUGUCUUCGGACCAAAGAUUUAUCGCCUUUAGAUGGGCCCGCGUAAGAUUAGCUAGUUGGUGGGGUAAAGGCCUACCAAGGCGACGAUCUUUAGCUGGUCUGAGAGGAUGAUCAGCCACACUGGGACUGAGACACGGCCCAGACUCCUACGGGAGGCAGCAGUGGGAAUAUUGGACAAUGGGCGAAAGCCUGAUCCAGCAAUGCCGCGUGAGUGAUGAAGGCCUUAGGGUUGUAAAGCUCUUUUACCCGAAAUGAUAAUGACAGUAUCGGGAGAAUAAGCUCCGGCUAACUCCGUG
RNAcentral lists this ribosomal RNA (437 nucleotides) under uncultured bacterium. RNAcentral's name for it is "bacterial SSU rRNA". It matches the Rfam family "Bacterial small subunit ribosomal RNA", at positions 23 to 507 of the family's 1533-position model. The record is from RNAcentral.